RNAcentral lists this ribosomal RNA (117 nucleotides) under Enterococcus lactis. RNAcentral describes it as "partial 16S ribosomal RNA". It matches the Rfam family "Bacterial small subunit ribosomal RNA", at positions 1 to 102 of the family's 1533-position model. Lineage: Bacteria; Bacillati; Bacillota; Bacilli; Lactobacillales; Enterococcaceae. The record is from RNAcentral.
UUUUAUGAGAGUUUGAUCCUGGCUCAGGACGAACGCUGGCGGCGUGCCUAAUACAUGCAAGUCGUACGCUUCUUUUUCCACCGGAGCUUGCUCCACCGGAAAAAGAAGAGUGGCGAA